UGCGUAGGCUGAUAUAUAGGUGUCCUUUGAAAUCCCCCUGCUCAACAGGGGAAUUGGGGGGGCAAACCAUAUAUCUUGAGGCCGGUAGGGGUGCCUGGAACUCUUGGUGGAGCGGUGGAAUGCGUAGAUAUCAAGAGGAACGCCAGAGGAGAAAUCGGGGCACUGGGCCGGACCUGACGCUGAGGUACGAAAGCAUGGGUAGCGAACG
This 208-nucleotide ribosomal RNA is filed under the name uncultured bacterium. RNAcentral's name for it is "partial 16S ribosomal RNA". It matches the Rfam family "Bacterial small subunit ribosomal RNA", at positions 568 to 774 of the family's 1533-position model. The record is from RNAcentral.